This 841-nucleotide long non-coding RNA is filed under the name Agrilus planipennis (emerald ash borer). Its description in RNAcentral is "uncharacterized LOC112904992, transcript variant X2". Lineage: Eukaryota; Metazoa; Arthropoda; Insecta; Coleoptera; Buprestidae. The record is from RNAcentral.
GUUUAGUUAAAUGUAACCACAGAAGAAUGUAAUGUAAACAGAAAAGUUUUUGCUAAGAUUUAUAAGGUGGUUUAUCUUUUGUAUUGAUAAUCAUAUAAAAUAAGAGACGAGGUAUAAUGGACGAAAAUCUAUUCUAAUCUCUAGACGAUUUUGAAGAACGUGUUUGAUUCUUGAAGAUCUGAAAAUAUUUACAUUAGUUGAGAAUUCAUAAUGGGACUUGAAAAACAUUAAUAUUUAUAGACACAGAAGAGUAGGUCGCAAAAUACAUACAGUUUAAGCAGUCCUGACAUAAAAACAAUCUGGUUUAUCAUUAGUGCCGUUGGUCAAUGACAAAAUGUACAUAAAAUGAUAUUGUUUGAAAUUGAGGAAUCUAAAGCUGUUAGUACCGAAUACUACUGUAUCAAUUAAGAGAUAUAUGUUGCCAUUGAUAUUGGUAUCAUAGAUUGAGUAUAUAAUGUACCUGGUGCAAAGCUUCCUGUUUGUAAUAGAAAAGUCAAUCCUGAUAUGGUUGUAAGUAUAAGUCCUAAAUACUAAAGUUAGCAUAGUUGUCACUCUAGCACUAUAUUUUGAGAAAGUUGAUGAUCUUAAGCAAUUGAACAAGCUAUAGUAAGAACGCAACACUAUUUCUUAACUCCAAGAUAAAGUUCCAAAGCUAAAGCAGUAGUCAGUGGUGAUAGUAAAUUGGAUAAUAGAACACAAUUAUUAAAAGGGUAUCAAUUAGGUGGUCAGUUUGAAUAACUGAUUGUCCAUGAGCAUCUGGUACUCAACAGUGUUGCACAAUGAUGAUACUCAGACAUACGAAACAUGGAAAUUUAUUUUUAGAAUAUAUAUGUUAACUAAC